This 778-nucleotide ribosomal RNA is filed under the name uncultured Neocallimastigales. RNAcentral describes it as "partial large subunit ribosomal RNA". It matches the Rfam family "Eukaryotic large subunit ribosomal RNA", at positions 26 to 646 of the family's 3401-position model. The record is from RNAcentral. Lineage: Eukaryota; Fungi; Neocallimastigomycota; Neocallimastigomycetes; Neocallimastigales.
CGUCUAUAUACGUAUAGCAUAUCAAUAAGCGGAGGAAAAGAAACUAACAAGGAUUCCCUUAGUAACGGCGAGUGAAGCGGGAAGAACUCAAAUUUGAAAUCUUCAAGGUUCUACCUUGACGAAUUGUAGUUUAUAGAAGUGUUUUCUGUUAGUAGAGUGGCAAAAGUUCUUUGGAAUAGGACAUCAUAGAGGGUGAGAAUCCCGUAUUUGACCAUUAUUUCCAACUUUGUGAUACACUUUCAAAGAGUCGGAUUGUUUGGGAAUGCAGUCCAAAAUGGGUGGUAAAUUUCAUCUAAAGCUAAAUACUGGCGAGAGACCGAUAGCGAACAAGUACCGUGAGGGAAAGAUGAAAAGAACUUUGAAAGGAGAGUUAAACAGUACGUGAAAUUGUCAAAAGGGAAGCGUUUGACACCAGUGUUGUUUUCUCGAAAAUCAAUUAAAAAUGGUGGGAUGUUGUGUUGUAUUGACUUUAUCAGCAUUUCUGCACUUUUUUUCCUAUCUUUUUUAAUGCACUUUUCGUUUAACAAGUCAACAUCAAUUUCUUUUGUUGUAAAAGAGUCAUUGGAAGGUGGCUUUCCUUUCGGAGAAAGUGUUUAUAGCCUUUGGCCUCUGCAAUCGGAGAGAUUGAGGUCUGCAGCGUAGAUCCUUCGGGGUUAGAUAGCAUUUGUGCUAAGUUAUAGCCUUUCAUAGACAACUUGUUGACUAUGAUUAGUCAUUGUAGCUUACUCGCUUAUGCUAUUUUACCUACGCUUAGGAUGUUGACGAGACUGUCGAUCUC